UGUCAUGCGAAAGUAUAAAAUAUUAUGGAAACUCUUUCAUCUGAUGCAAUCCAUAAAAUUCUGCACCGUUUCUAUUAUACAUCACAUGAGAGCCUGGCGCAGCUGUUUUGAUGAUAUCUUCAGGCAAUGCAGCUUAAUAUGCCAUUUUCACAUGAAGUACAUUUAUUGUGGAAUAUCUAAAAAGAAAAUUAGAACGUUUAAUAGGAC
RNAcentral lists this long non-coding RNA (207 nucleotides) under Panax ginseng (ginseng). Its description in RNAcentral is "long non-coding RNA (PGIN_LNC000800)". The record is from RNAcentral. Lineage: Eukaryota; Viridiplantae; Streptophyta; Magnoliopsida; Apiales; Araliaceae.